UCGAGGGGUAUAGGUUUUCGGACCUAGAGACCGGCGCACGGGUGCGUAACGCGUAUGCAAUCUACCUUUUACAGAGGGAUAGCCCAGAGAAAUUUGGAUUAAUACCUCAUAGUGUAAUUGAAUGGCAUCAUUUAAUUACUAAAGUUCCAACGGUAAAAGAUGAGCAUGCGUCCUAUUAGCUAGUUGGUGUGGUAACGGCACACCAAGGCGACGAUAGGUAGGGGUCCUGAGAGGGAGAUCCCCCACACUGGUACUGAGACACGGACCAGACUCCUACGGGAGGCAGCAGUGAGGAAUAUUGGACAAUGGGCGCAAGCCUGAUCCAGCCAUGCCGCGUGCAGGAAGAAGCAUCUAUGGUGUGUAAACUGCUUUUGUACGGGAAGAAACACCUCUACGUGUAGAGGCUUGACGGUACCGUAAGAAUAAGGAUUGGCUAACUCCGUGCCAGCAGCCGCGGUAAUACGGAGGAUCCAAGCGUUAUCCGGAAUCAUUGGGUUUAAAGGGUCCGUAGGCGGUUUAAUAAGUCAGUGGUGAAAGCCCAUCGCUUAACGAUGGAACGGCCAUUGAUACUGUUAGACUUGAAUUAUUGGGAAGUAACUAGAAUAUGUAGUGUAGCGGUGAAAUGCUUAGAUAUUACAUGGAAUACCAAUUGCGAAGGCAGGUUACUAUCAAUAUAUUGACGCUGAUGGACGAAAGC
This 697-nucleotide ribosomal RNA is filed under the name uncultured Bacteroidota bacterium. RNAcentral's name for it is "bacterial SSU rRNA". It matches the Rfam family "Bacterial small subunit ribosomal RNA", at positions 62 to 760 of the family's 1533-position model. The record is from RNAcentral. Lineage: Bacteria; Pseudomonadati; Bacteroidota.